This 468-nucleotide ribosomal RNA is filed under the name uncultured bacterium. Its description in RNAcentral is "partial 16S ribosomal RNA". It matches the Rfam family "Bacterial small subunit ribosomal RNA", at positions 28 to 507 of the family's 1533-position model. The record is from RNAcentral.
GACGAACGCUGGCGGCGUGCUUAACACAUGCAAGUCGAACGGAAAGGCCCUGCUUUUGUGGGGUGCUCGAGUGGCGAACGGGUGAGUAACACGUGCGUAACCUGCCCUUGACUUUGGGAUAACUUCAGGAAACUUAGGCUAAUACCGGAUAGGAGCUCCUGCUGCAUGGUGGGGGUUGGAAAGUUUCGGCGGUUGGGGAUGGACUCGCGGCUUAUCAGCUUGUUGGUGGGGUAGUGGCUUACCAAGGCUUUGACGGGUAGCCGGCCUGAGAGGGUGACCGGCCACAUUGGGACUGAGAUACGGCCCAGACUCCUACGGGAGGCAGCAGUGGGGAAUAUUGCACAAUGGGCGGAAGCCUGAUGCAGCAACGCCGCGUGCGGGAUGACGGCCUUCGGGUUGUAAACCGCUUUCGCCUGUGACGAAGCGUGAGUGACGGUAAUGGGUAAAGAAGCACCGGCUAACUACGUG